CAAGAAUUCAAAAACCGUAAGAGUUUCAAGUCAGCAAACAGUAGAAACUGGCUUGAAAGGAAUUCUGAUGGCAGUCCUAGUAGCUCAGAUAAGCCUGCACCGCAUCAUGGGCAGUUUGUUAAACAGAGGUUCCACAGCUCCCUAGGGCUCCCUUUUGCUCU
Molecule: non-coding RNA, 161 nt
Organism: Pogona vitticeps (central bearded dragon)
Lineage: Eukaryota; Metazoa; Chordata; Lepidosauria; Squamata; Agamidae
Source: RefSeq, a predicted model, not a curated record